GGAUGAUAUGAGAGGAUGGGGGAGGGCGGGUGAUACAGAGAGAGAGAGAGAGAGAGAAAGCGAGGCUUCGGGUUAAAAAGUAAAAAAGUGAGAAACGCAGCAAAGCAAAAGGAUAAAAGAAAGAGGAAAAAUAGUACUGAUAAAAGGAAAACUGCUGCUUCACUGGUGAUUACAGCUCCUUUUAAAAAAAUAACAACAAAGGAAAGUACUGAAGACCAAAGAGGAACAUUUUAACCAUGAUGCUGAAGCUGUUGUUUCUGCUCUGCUUCCUGGAAACCUCAGCUCAAAUAAAUACAACAGAACAGAACAUGGUCACACAAGGAUCUGAUUAUGUCUCGACAAAAACAGCAACAAUGGAGGCGACCAGCUCCAAUAUGACAAAAGAUGAGGCUACCAAUACAUCAGUGUCAACUCUACUGACAUCCACAACCUUGGCCAACAAGUCACUGAAAUCAGAAUUAACAACAUCAGCAA
Molecule: long non-coding RNA, 474 nt
Organism: Cyprinodon tularosa
Lineage: Eukaryota; Metazoa; Chordata; Actinopteri; Cyprinodontiformes; Cyprinodontidae
Exons: 3
Source: RefSeq, a predicted model, not a curated record